AGACGUCUACAUUAGAUACCCGUGUAGUCCCAGCCCUAAACGAUGCGCGUUAGGUGUAUCGGUGACCACGAGUCACCGAGGUGCCGAAGGGAAACCGUGAAACGUGCCGCCAGGGAAGUACGGUCGCAAGGCCGAAACUUAAAGGAAUUGGCGGGGGAGCACCACAACGGGUGGAGCCUGCGGUUUAAUUGGACUCAACGCCGGGAAGCUCGCCGGAUAAGACAGCGGAAUGAUUGCCGGGCUGAAGACCCUGCAUGACCAGCUG
This 265-nucleotide ribosomal RNA is filed under the name uncultured archaeon. RNAcentral's name for it is "partial 16S ribosomal RNA". It matches the Rfam family "Archaeal small subunit ribosomal RNA", at positions 717 to 982 of the family's 1478-position model. The record is from RNAcentral.